GAUGAACGCUGGCGGCGUGCCUAAUACAUGCAAGUCGAGCGAACAGACGAGGCGCUUGCUCCUCUCACGUUAGCCGCGGACGGGUGUGUCACACGUGGAUCCCCUCCCUAUAUUACUGGUAUAACUUCGAGACACCGGAUCUUAUACCGGAUAAUAUAUUGAACCGCAUGGUUCAUUGGUAAGAGUCGGCUUUGCGGUCACGUCUAGCUGGAUCCGCGCCGGAUUAGCUAGUUGUGAAGGUAACGGCUUACGAAGGCAACGAGGCGUGGCCGAACUGAGAGGGUGAUAGGCGACACUGGAACUGAGACACGGUCCAGAGUACUGCGAGAGGGAGCAGUAGGGAAUCUUACGCAGUGGGCGAAAGCAUGACGGAGCAACGGGGCGCCAGUGAUGAAGGUCUUGGGAUCGUAAAAAUCUGUUAUUAGGGAAGAACAAAUGUGUAAGUUACUAUGCACGGCUUGACGGUACCUAAUCAGAAAGCCACGGCUAACUACGUG
RNAcentral lists this ribosomal RNA (497 nucleotides) under uncultured bacterium. RNAcentral's name for it is "partial 16S ribosomal RNA". It matches the Rfam family "Bacterial small subunit ribosomal RNA", at positions 28 to 507 of the family's 1533-position model. The record is from RNAcentral.